RNAcentral lists this transfer RNA (67 nucleotides) under Tetragonula pagdeni. RNAcentral's name for it is "tRNA-Met". The record is from RNAcentral. Lineage: Eukaryota; Metazoa; Arthropoda; Insecta; Hymenoptera; Apidae.
UAUAUAAUAAGCUAAGUUAAGCUACUAGGUUCAUACCCUGGCGAUAAAUUUAAUAAUUUUUAUAUAA